GGGCCUGUGGUCUAGUCUGGAUAGGACGUUGGCCUCCGGAGCCAAAGGUCAGGGGUUCAAAUCCCCUCAGGCCCG
This 75-nucleotide transfer RNA is filed under the name Candidatus Bathyarchaeota archaeon. RNAcentral describes it as "tRNA-Arg". It matches the Rfam family "tRNA". Rfam says of the family: Transfer RNA (tRNA) molecules are approximately 80 nucleotides in length. Their secondary structure includes four short double-helical elements and three loops (D, anti-codon, and T loops). RNAcentral also lists the same sequence under 1 other name. The record is from RNAcentral. Lineage: Archaea; Thermoproteati; Candidatus Bathyarchaeota.